UUGCCGGCGACCGGCGGACGGGUGCGUAACGCGUAUGUAACCUACCUUUGACAGGGGGAUAACAUCGAGAAAUUGGUACUAAUACCCCAUAACAUCACCGGAGGCAUCUUCGGUGGUUGAAAACUCAGGUGGUCAGAGAUGGACAUGCGUUGUAUUAGCUAGUUGGUGAGGUAACGGCUCACCAAGGCGACGAUACAUAGGGGGACGUGAGAGGUCAACCCCCCACCAUUGGUACUGAGACACGGACCAAACUCCUACGGAAGGCAGCAG
Molecule: ribosomal RNA, 270 nt
Filed under: uncultured bacterium
Lineage: Bacteria
Description: partial 16S ribosomal RNA
Rfam family: Bacterial small subunit ribosomal RNA
Source: RNAcentral